RNAcentral lists this ribosomal RNA (381 nucleotides) under uncultured eukaryote. RNAcentral's name for it is "mitochondrial SSU rRNA". It matches the Rfam family "Bacterial small subunit ribosomal RNA", at positions 524 to 909 of the family's 1533-position model. The record is from RNAcentral.
AACGGGGGGAGCUAGCGUUACUCGGAAUAAUUGGCGUAAAGGGUGCGUAGGUUGUUUUUAUUUACAUACAUUUAAAGAUAAUAGGUGUAACCUUUUAUGGAAUGUAUUUGAUUAUAAUACUAGAGUUUAAAAGAAGAUGGUCGUAAUUUUAGUGGAAAGGUAAAAUUUAGAUAUUAGGAGGACGGUCUUUUUGGUGUAGACACCAUCUAUCGUAAAACUGACACUAAAGUACAAAAGUAUGGGGCGCAAAUAGGAUUAGAGACCCUAGUAGUCCAUACCCUGACCUAUGAGUGUUAAAUAUAAGAGUAAUUUUUUGUAUUUAAGCUAACGCGUAAACACUCCGCCUGGGCAGUACGAUCGCAAGGUUGAAACUCAAAGGAA